CCUACGGGAGGCAGCAGUGGGGAAUAUUGGACAAUGGGGGGAACCCUGAUCCAGCCAUGCCGCGUGUGUGAAGAAGGCCCUCGGGUUGUAAAGCACUUUCAGUGAGGAAGAACGCCUGGUGGUUAAUACCCAUCAGGAAAGACAUCACUCACAGAAGAAGCACCGGCUAACUCCGUGCCAGCAGCCGCGGUAAUACGGAGGGUGCGAGCGUUAAUCGGAAUUACCGGGCGUAAAGCGCGCGUAGGUGGCUUGAUAAGCCGGUUGUGAAAGCCCCGGGCUCAACCUGGGAACGGCAUCCGGAACUGUCAAGCUAGAGUGCAGGAGAGGAAGGUAGAAUUCCCGGUGUAGCGGUGAAAUGCGUAGAGAUCGGGAGGAAUACCAGUGGCGAAGGCGGCCUUCUGGACUGACACUGACACUGAGGUGCGAAAGCGUGGGUAGCAAACAGGAUUAGAUACCCGAGUAGUC
RNAcentral lists this ribosomal RNA (465 nucleotides) under Vreelandella stevensii. RNAcentral describes it as "partial 16S ribosomal RNA". It matches the Rfam family "Bacterial small subunit ribosomal RNA", at positions 338 to 795 of the family's 1533-position model. The record is from RNAcentral. Lineage: Bacteria; Pseudomonadati; Pseudomonadota; Gammaproteobacteria; Oceanospirillales; Halomonadaceae.